Magnolia sinica is the source of this 1011-nucleotide long non-coding RNA. RefSeq lists it as uncharacterized. The record is from RefSeq and is a predicted model, not a curated record. Lineage: Eukaryota; Viridiplantae; Streptophyta; Magnoliopsida; Magnoliales; Magnoliaceae. The transcript has 4 exons.
UCUUUUUGUAGAUGGAUAACAUGGAGUGCUUUUUCAAGGAGAAAAUGGGUGUCAUUGCUGAACUUCGAAGUUCUGGAGUACCUAUGGAAUGUGCCUAGCCAUUGCAUAGCAUGGAAGUAGGUAAAAUCAUGUACCUAAGCUUCGAGUACUAGUUUACAGGGCUUGGUUGCAGAAAUAUGUGCUUUGACUACAGAAAUAGCAUGGAACCAGAGCCAGGAAGGUGCAGAAGAACAGAUGGAAAGAAAUGGUGAUUCUCUAAGGAUGUGGUGUCGGAUCAAAAGUACUGUGAGCGCCACAUGCAUAGAGGCCGUCAACGUUCAAGAAAGCCUGUGGAAGGCAAUGCCACUACCAACAACAACACCACCACCACCACGAAAUACACCAUCGAUUCCAACACCAAUCUCUCCAUUUCAAUCUUCUUUAAUUACGGAGAGAAUAUUUUGAAAUGACAGAAACUGAUGAAAUUUCCCAGUAUUUAUAGCGAAGAGUUCUACCUCGAAUUUCAGCAAGCACUUGUUAUUGGGGUUUUAUAAGUAGGGACUGCAGCAGCUGGAUCUCGUGUCACAUUUCAAUGAUCCAAACCGUUUAUAUGAUGGGCCUUAAAGCAGAUGGGGGUUAAGUAAAAUAACUCUCAGAUUUGGAUAUUUUCUUUGCUACUUCUUUUUCUGUCUUUCUCACAUCAAAUUCCAUUCUGAAUUUGUAGGCUGCUUGGAUGUCCUGCUCACAGUUGGGGCUUAUUCAACAGCUAGAGGCAUGGUGAUCUCAAGGUUGUUUAUUAGAUUCUUUUGGUUUGGACUCAGUUCAGUAUUUGUAACAUAUAUCUACAUGAAGGUUCUAGAGGAAAAGAUAACCGGAACUCAGAUUCUUUCUAUUUUUGGAUUUAUAUUCUUGUGUUGGGAGUUUAUGCUGGCAUACGCAUAUUUCUUGCUUUGCUACUUAAAUUCCCAGCUUGUCACACCUUAUCACAGACGUCUGAUCAGUGGUCAUUCUUUCAAUUUUUUAAGUGGAUUU